Molecule: transfer RNA, 77 nt
Filed under: Syntrophomonadaceae bacterium
Lineage: Bacteria; Bacillati; Bacillota; Clostridia; Eubacteriales; Syntrophomonadaceae
Description: tRNA-Arg
Rfam family: tRNA
About the family: Transfer RNA (tRNA) molecules are approximately 80 nucleotides in length. Their secondary structure includes four short double-helical elements and three loops (D, anti-codon, and T loops).
Source: RNAcentral
GCGCCCGUAGCUCAGGUGGAUAGAGCAAUGGUUUCCUAAACCAUGUGCCAGGGGUUCGAAUCCUCUCGGGCGUACCA